This 397-nucleotide long non-coding RNA is filed under the name Jatropha curcas. RNAcentral's name for it is "long non-coding RNA (JCUR_LNC002816)". Lineage: Eukaryota; Viridiplantae; Streptophyta; Magnoliopsida; Malpighiales; Euphorbiaceae. The record is from RNAcentral.
GAAGAACUGAGAUAGUAUACAAUGUCAGUGUUCAAUUCCUUAAAUUUAUUUGGCUUUGUUGCAAAAUUUUAAUUAAAUAGUUACAUUUUAUUUGUUGUUAUAUUGGAUCCAGGCAAGAAGUGCAGAAGCAACAAUUGGGUACACCAAAAAGCCUAUUAUGUGGAGAGGAAAUCGUACUGUCACAUCUUCUAAAUCCAGCUCUUGAGAGAUAUAAGAGCUUCCCAAAGGGUAAAGGCAAAGAGAAAACCAUAGUUGUUAUAGCUACUUAGUGAAGAAGUCCACAAACAAGUGCUUUUUGUUUUAGUUUAGGAGAAUAAUAAUCAAAUGAAUAUUUUUUUUUUUUUUUUUUUUUUUUUUUUUUUUUUUUUUUUUUUUUUUUUUUUUUUUUUUUGUGAUU